UUCGUAUCAAUUAUUUCAUGUACAAU
Molecule: non-coding RNA, 26 nt
Filed under: Drosophila melanogaster (fruit fly)
Lineage: Eukaryota; Metazoa; Arthropoda; Insecta; Diptera; Drosophilidae
Source: RNAcentral